GACGAACGCUGGCGGCGCGCCUAACACAUGCAAGUCGAACGGAGUCAAGAGGAGCUUGCUUUUCUUGACUUAGUGGCGAACGGGUGAGUAACGCGUGAGUAACCUGCCCUGGAGUGGGGGACAACAGUUGGAAACGACUGCUAAUACCGCAUAAGCCCACGGAUCUGCAUGGAUCUGCGGGAAAAGGAUUUAUUCGCUCUAGGAUGGACUCGCGUCCAAUUAGCUAGUUGGUGAGGUAACGGGCCACCAAGGCGACGAUUGGUAGCCGGACUGAGAGGUUGAACAGCCACAUUGGGACUGAGACACGGCCCAGACUCCUACGGGAGGCAGCAGUGGGGGAUAUUGCACAAUGGGGGAAACCCUGAUGCAGCGACGCCGCGUGGAGGAAGAAGGUUUUCGGAUUGUAAACUCCUGUCGUUAGGGACGAUAAUGACGGUACCUAACAAGAAAGCACCGGCUAACUACGUG
Molecule: ribosomal RNA, 468 nt
Filed under: uncultured bacterium
Lineage: Bacteria
Description: partial 16S ribosomal RNA
Rfam family: Bacterial small subunit ribosomal RNA
Source: RNAcentral